This 486-nucleotide ribosomal RNA is filed under the name uncultured bacterium. RNAcentral's name for it is "partial 16S ribosomal RNA". It matches the Rfam family "Bacterial small subunit ribosomal RNA", at positions 30 to 507 of the family's 1533-position model. The record is from RNAcentral.
AUUGAACGCUGGCGGCAUGCCUUACACAUGCAAGUCGAACGGCAGCACGGGUGCUUGCACCUGGUGGCGAGUGGCGAACGGGUGAGUAAUACAUCGGAACAUGUCCUGUAGUGGGGGAUAGCCCGGCGAAAGCCGGAUUAAUACCGCAUACGAUCCACGGAUGAAAGCGGGGGACCUUCGGGCUUCGCGCUAUAGGGUUGGCCGAUGGCUGAUUAGCUAGUUGGUGGGGUAAAGGCCUACCAAGGCGACGAUCAGUAGCUGGUCUGAGAGGACGACCAGCCACACUGGGACUGAGACACGGCCCAGACUCCUACGGGAGGCAGCAGUGGGGAAUUUUGGACAAUGGGCGAAAGCCUGAUCCAGCAAUGCCGCGUGUGUGAAGAAGGCCUUCGGGUUGUAAAGCACUUUUGUCCGGAAAGAAAUCCUUGACUCUAAUACAGUCGGGGGAUGACGGUACCGGAAGAAUAAGCACCGGCUAACUACGUG